RNAcentral lists this ribosomal RNA (729 nucleotides) under Candidatus Tremblayella phenacoccinincola. RNAcentral describes it as "bacterial SSU rRNA". It matches the Rfam family "Bacterial small subunit ribosomal RNA", at positions 658 to 1382 of the family's 1533-position model. Lineage: Bacteria; Pseudomonadati; Pseudomonadota; Betaproteobacteria. The record is from RNAcentral.
GGGAUAGAAUUCCAGGAGUAGCGGUGAAAUGCGUAGAUAUCUGGAGGAGUACCAAAGGCGAAGGCAGUCCCCUGGUCCGAUACUGACACUGAGGUACGAAAGCGUGGGGAGCAAACAGGAUUAGAUACCCUGGUAGUCCACGCCCUAAACGAUGUCGAUUAGCCAUUGGAAGGACCCCUUUUCCUUUCAGUGACGUAGCUAACGCGUUAAAUCGACCGCCUGGGAAGUACGACCGCAAGGUUAAAACUCAAAGGAAUUGACGGGGACCUGAACGAGCGGUGAAUGAUGUGGAUUAAUUCGAUGCUACGCGAAGAACCUUACCUACCUUUGACAUGGCCAAAGUUCUACCGAGAGGCGGAAGUACUCGUAAGAGGAUUGGCGCACAGGUGCUGCAUGGUUGUCGUCAGUUCGUGUCGUGAGAUGUUGGGUUCAGUCCCGCAACGAACGCAACCCUUAUCUUUAAUUGCUCCUAUUUUAACAGGCACUUUAAAGAAACUGCCAAUGAUAAGUUGGAGGAAGGUGGGGAUCACGUCAAGUCCGCAUGGCCUUUAUAGGUAGGGCUUCACACGUCAUACAAUGGUUAGAACAAAGAGCUGCAAAUUCGUAAGAAGGAGCCAAUCUCACAAACCUAACCUCAGUUCGAAUUGCGGUCUGCAACUCGAGCGCAUGAAGCCGGAAUCGCUAGUAAUCGUGGAUCAGAAUGCCACGGUGAAUACGUUCUUAGGUCUU